Molecule: ribosomal RNA, 408 nt
Filed under: uncultured microorganism
Description: bacterial SSU rRNA
Rfam family: Bacterial small subunit ribosomal RNA
Source: RNAcentral
CAGCAGCCGCGGUAAUACGUAGGGUGCAAGCGUUAAUCGGAAUUACUGGGCGUAAAGCGUGCGCAGGCGGUUCGGAAAGAAAGAUGUGAAAUCCCAGAGCUUAACUUUGGAACUGCAUUUUUAACUACCGGGCUAGAGUGUGUCAGAGGGAGGUGGAAUUCCGCGUGUAGCAGUGAAAUGCGUAGAUAUGCGGAGGAACACCGAUGGCGAAGGCAGCCUCCUGGGAUAACACUGACGCUCAUGCACGAAAGCGUGGGGAGCAAACAGGAUUAGAUACCCUGGUAGUCCACGCCCUAAACGAUGUCAACUAGCUGUUGGGGCCUUCGGGCCUUGGUAGCGCAGCUAACGCGUGAAGUUGACCGCCUGGGGAGUACGGUCGCAAGGUUGAAACUUAAAGGAAUUGGCGGG